Molecule: ribosomal RNA, 459 nt
Filed under: uncultured bacterium
Lineage: Bacteria
Description: partial 16S ribosomal RNA
Rfam family: Bacterial small subunit ribosomal RNA
Source: RNAcentral
CCUACGGGAGGCAGCAGUGAGGAAUAUUGGUCAAUGGGCGAGAGCCUGAACCAGCCAAGUAGCGUGAAGGAUGACGGCCCUACGGGUUGUAAACUUCUUUUGUCAGGGAGCAAUGUGCUCCACGCGUAGGCUUUUGUAUGGUCCCUGUGGAUAAGGCAUGGGCUAACUCGUGGCCAGCGGCCGGGGUAAAAGGGAGGAUGCGAGUGUUAUCGGGAUUUUUUGGGUUAAAGGGGUGCUUAGGGGGAAUAUCAAGUCAGCGGUAAAGAUUCGGGGCUCAACCCAGUCGUGCCGUUGAAACUGGUGUCUUUGAGUGGGCGAGAAGUAUGCGGAAUGCGUGGUGUAGCGGUGAAAUGCAUAGAUAUCACGCAGAACUCCGAUUGCGAAGGCAGCAGACCGGCGCUAAACUGACGCUGAAGCACGAAAGCGUGGGUAUCGAACAGGAUUAGAUACCCUAUAGUC